Molecule: non-coding RNA, 46 nt
Organism: Schistosoma rodhaini
Lineage: Eukaryota; Metazoa; Platyhelminthes; Trematoda; Strigeidida; Schistosomatidae
Source: Rfam
GCACUGCUGAAGAGUCCCACAAUAGGACGAAACGGCCGUUCAAUGC